RNAcentral lists this ribosomal RNA (497 nucleotides) under uncultured bacterium. RNAcentral's name for it is "partial 16S ribosomal RNA". It matches the Rfam family "Bacterial small subunit ribosomal RNA", at positions 28 to 507 of the family's 1533-position model. The record is from RNAcentral.
GAUGAACGCUGGCGGCGUGCCUAAUACAUGCAAGUCGAGCGAACAGACGAGGAGCUUGCUCCUCUGACGUUAGCGGCGGACGGGUGAGUAACACGUGGAUAACCUACCUAUAAGACUGGGAUCACUUCGGGAAACCGGAGCUAAUACCGGAUAAUAUAUUGAACCGCAUGGUUCAAUAGUGAAAGACGGUUUUGCUGUCACUUAUAGAUGGAUCCGCGCCGCAUUAGCUAGUUGGUAAGGUAACGGCUUACCAAGGCAACGAUGCGUAGCCGACCUGAGAGGGUGAUCGGCCACACUGGAACUGAGACACGGUCCAGACUCCUACGGGAGGCAGCAGUAGGGAAUCUUCCGCAAUGGGCGAAAGCCUGACGGAGCAACGCCGCGUGAGUGAUGAAGGUCUUCGGAUCGUAAAACUCUGUUAUUAGGGAAGAACAAAUGUGUAAGUAACUAUGCACGGCUUGACGGUACCUAAUCAGAAAGCCACGGCUAACUACGUG